GCCAGGUGCAGUGGCGCACGCCUCUAAUCCCAGCGGCUUGGGAGGCUGAGGCAGGAGGAUCACAGCUCAAAGCCAGCCUCAGCAACAGUGGGACACUAAGCCACUCAGUGAGACCCUGUCUCUA
RNAcentral lists this small RNA (124 nucleotides) under Marmota monax (woodchuck). Lineage: Eukaryota; Metazoa; Chordata; Mammalia; Rodentia; Sciuridae. The record is from RNAcentral.